CCUACGGGUGGCAGCAGUGGGGAAUAUUGGACAAUGGGCGAAAGCCUGAUCCAGCCAUGCCGCGUGUGUGAAGAAGGCCUUCGGGUCGUAAAGCACUUUCAGUGGGGAAGAAAGCCUUGGGGCUAAUACCCUCGAGGAAGGACAUCACCCACAGAAGAAGCAACGGCUAACUCCGUGCCAGCAGCCGCGGUAAUACGGAGGGUGCGAGCGUUAACCGGAAUUACUGGGCGUAAAGCGCGCGUAGGCGGUCUGAUAAGCCGGUUGUGAAAGCCCCGGGCUCAACCUGGGAACGGCAUCCGGAACUGUCAGGCUAGAGUGCAGAAGAGGAAGGUAGAAUUCCCGGUGUAGCGGUGAAAUGCGUAGAGAUCGGGAGGAAUACCAGUGGCGAAGGCGGCCUUCUGGACUGACACUGACGCUGAGGUGCGAAAGCGUGGGUAGCAAACAGGAUUAGAUACCCUAGUAGUC
Molecule: ribosomal RNA, 465 nt
Filed under: Vreelandella stevensii
Lineage: Bacteria; Pseudomonadati; Pseudomonadota; Gammaproteobacteria; Oceanospirillales; Halomonadaceae
Description: partial 16S ribosomal RNA
Rfam family: Bacterial small subunit ribosomal RNA
Source: RNAcentral